Non-coding RNA from Callithrix jacchus (white-tufted-ear marmoset), 1725 nucleotides. The record is from RefSeq and is a predicted model, not a curated record. NCBI's taxonomy places the organism in Eukaryota, Metazoa, Chordata, Mammalia, Primates, Cebidae.
GCCUGUUGUCUGUGUGUGGUGCUGAGGGGCCCCGGGGGCAGUGGGGACUCCCGGUGGGGGCUGCGGUGGGGCAGAAGGACCUGAACAUGGUGCUGAGGGGCCACCCUGCAGGAAGAUGAAUAAGGGCUGACUGGAGCUGGAGAGCGACCAGGGCCUCUUCACCCUGCUGGUGGAAGAUUUCGGUGUCAAAGGGGUACAAGUGGAGGAGAUCUAUGACCUUCAGAGCAAAUGCCAGGGCCCUGUAUAUGGAUUUAUCUUCCUGUUCAAAUGGAUCGAAGAGCACCAGUCACGGGGAAAGGUCUCUACCUUCAUGGAUGAUACAUCCAUGAUUGAUGACAAUAUUGUGAAUAACAUGUUCUUUGCCCACCAGCUGAUACCCAACUCUUGUGCCACUCAUGCCUUGCUGAGUGUGCUCCUGAACUGCAGCAACACGGACCUGGGACCUACCCUGAGUCACAUGAAGAACUUCACCAAAAGCUUCAGCCAUGAGAGCAAGGGAUAUGCUAUUGGCAAUGCCCCAGAGUUGGCCAAGGCACAUAAUAGCCAUGCCAGACCCAAGCUGCACCACCUCCCUGAAAAGCAGAAUGGCCUUAGUGCAAUGCGGACUAUGGAGGCGUUCCACUUCAUCAGCUAUGUGCCUAUCACAGGCCGGCUCUUGGAGCCAGAUGGGCUGAAGGUCUACCCCAUUGACCAUGGGCCUUGGGGAGAGGAUGAGGAAUGGACAGACAAGGCCUGGAGGGUUAUUAUGGAGCAUAUAGGCCUCGCCAAUGCAGGGGAGCCUUACCACAACAUCCGCUUCAGCCUGAUGGCAGUGGUGCCCGACCACAGGAUCAAGUAUGAGGCCAGGCUGCACGUGCUGAAAGUGAACCGUCAGACAGUACUAGAGGCCCUGCAGCAGCUGAUAAGAGUAACACAGCCAGAGCUGAUUCAGACCCACAAGUCUCAAGAGUCACAGCUGCCUGAGGCAUCCAAGCCAGUCAGCAACCAGUCCCCGCAGGUGAAGGAGGCACACAGGGCCCCUGCAGCCUCUGAGGGCACCCACACAGAUGAUGCAGAGAGGCGGCUGGUUCAUGCACACAAGCCCCAACCCACAGCCCUCCCAGGCAGCAACCUCAAUGGGGUUCCCCCCAACCCCACUCCCAUUGUCCAGUGGCUGCUGGCCUUUCUAGACAAUCACAACUAUGCCAAAUCCCCAAUGCAGGAGGAGGAAGACCUGGCGGUAGCCAAGUUCCAGUCCGCCCAGCCCAGCAGUACUCAGAUGACGAGGAUGACUAUGAGGGUGAUGGGGAGGAUGACAUGCAGAACACCAGCUCUGCCAUUAGGUAUAAGUGGAAGGGAACAGGGAAGCCAGGGGCAUUGAGCGGUUCUGCUGAUGGGCAGCUGUCAGUGUUACAGCCCAACACCAUCAACGUCUUGGCUGAGAAGUUCAAGGAGUCCCAGAAGGACCUCUCAAUUCCUCUGUCCAUCAAGACUAGCAGCGGGGCUCUGAGUCUGGCAGUGGCUGUGCCCACACACUCAGAGCCCUGCUCACCCCCAGCAUGGGCACCCCCAUGCUGCCUCCUGAGCACUAAGGGGCUGAUCUGCCCUGUGCCAGGCCUCAGGGCACAAUGCAGGGAAUAUGACCAGGUUCCUCCCAUUCUCAGGGCCUGGGCUCUCUGGCUGGGACUAUUCAGUAAUACUGGGAAAGGGGGAAGAACCCUGGUGAGGGCUAUGCUUCAAGCAUGA